CAAUAAUAUUAAGAUAUGAAAGAGAGGGUCUUAAAAAGUAAAUUUUAGAAUUUCUAAGUACAAUUUAUUGCCUCAUUUAAUCCUUGACUAUGUAUUUGUGUGUGUGUGUGUGUGUGUGUGUGUGUGUGUGGUGUGUAUGUGUAUGCAAUUGAACCCAGGGCCUCACACAUACUAGCAAACACUCUACUAUUGA
RNAcentral lists this small RNA (193 nucleotides) under Marmota monax (woodchuck). The record is from RNAcentral. Lineage: Eukaryota; Metazoa; Chordata; Mammalia; Rodentia; Sciuridae.